Molecule: ribosomal RNA, 468 nt
Filed under: uncultured bacterium
Lineage: Bacteria
Description: partial 16S ribosomal RNA
Rfam family: Bacterial small subunit ribosomal RNA
Source: RNAcentral
GACGAACGCUGGCGGCGUGCCUAACACAUGCAAGUCGAACGGAAAGGCCCUGCUUUUGUGGGGUGCUCGAGUGGCGAACGGGUGAGUAACACGUGAGUAACCUGCCCUUGACUUUGGGAUAACUUUAGGAAACUGGGGCUAAUACCGGAUAGGAGCUCCUGCUGCAUGGUGGGGGUUGGAAAGUUUCGGCGGUUGGGGAUGGACUCGCGGCUUAUCAGCUUGUUGGUGGGGUAGUGGCUUACCAAGGCUUUGACGGGUAGCCGGCCUGAGAGGGUGACCGGCCACAUUGGGACUGAGAUACGGCCCAGACUCCUACGGGAGGCAGCAGUGGGGAAUAUUGCACAAUGGGCGGAAGCCUGAUGCAGCAACGCCGCGUGCGGGAUGACGGCCUUCGGGUUGUAAACCGCUUUCGCCUGUGACGAAGCGUGAGUGACGGUAAUGGGUAAAGAAGCACCGGCUAACUACGUG